UACAGAGGUCUCAAGCGUUGUUCGGAUUCAUUGGGCGUAAAGGGUGCGUAGGUGGCGUCGUAAGUCAGGUGUGAAAUCUCGGGGCUUAACUCCGAAACUGCAUUUGAUACUGCGGUGCUUGAGGACUGGAGAGGAGACUGGAAUUCAUGGUGUAGCAGUGAAAUGCGUAGAGAUCAUGAGGAAGACCAGUGGCGAAGGCGGGUCUCUGGACAGUUCCUGACACUGAGGCACGAAGGCCAGGGGAGCAAACGGG
Molecule: ribosomal RNA, 253 nt
Filed under: uncultured bacterium
Lineage: Bacteria
Description: partial 16S ribosomal RNA
Rfam family: Bacterial small subunit ribosomal RNA
Source: RNAcentral